GACGAACGCUGGCGGCGUGCUUAACACAUGCAAGUCGAACGGAAAGGCCCUGCUUUUGUGGGGUGCUCGAGUGGCGAACGGGUGAGUAACACGUGAGUAACCUGCCCUUGACUUUGGGAUAACUUCAGGAAACUGGGGCUAAUACCGGAUAGGAGCUCCUGCUGCAUGGUGGGGGUUGGAAAGUUUCGGCGGUUGGGGAUGGACUCGCGGCUUAUCAGCUUGUUGGUGGGGUAGUGGCUUACCAAGGCUUUGACGGGUAGCCGGCCUGAGAGGGUGACCGGCCACAUUGGGACUGAGAUACGGCCCAGACUCCUACGGGAGGCAGAAGUGGGGAGUAUUGCACAGUGGGCGGAAGCCUGAUGCAGCAACGCCGCGUGCGGGAUGACGGCCUUCGGGUUGUAAACCGCUUUCGCCUGUGACGAAGCGUGAGUGACGGUAAUGGGUAAAGAAGCACCGGCUAACUACGUG
RNAcentral lists this ribosomal RNA (468 nucleotides) under uncultured bacterium. Its description in RNAcentral is "partial 16S ribosomal RNA". It matches the Rfam family "Bacterial small subunit ribosomal RNA", at positions 28 to 507 of the family's 1533-position model. The record is from RNAcentral.